UCGAUUAACUUUUUCUUACUCAACGAUCGUGACCAUUUUUUUGUUUUACGUCUUAUGCAUAAUACGGAUUCUAAAAUGAAAUACUAAAAAUGAAUCGGAGAUAUUGUUUGGCGAUAAGAGCACUUCUGGCAGAGGCAAAUGAGGGAAAACGUUAAAGAAAUCAAGAAAAAAAAACAUAUAAUAUGACAGCAACAAAAUAAAUCAGUAAUUCAUUCAUGUCUGACGCGUUCCAACUUUUUUGAAAUGUUGAUUGUCUAUUUUCAGAAUUUUCAAGAGUCGGGGAAGGAAAAUUGCGAGAGCGGUAGAGCACACACGAACACGAGCACCCAGCUUAAUGUAUUGUUUAAGAUGAUUGUAGACGGCGCUUGCUUCGGAAAAGACUUCCCGUACCCACUCCCAGCUCCCAGCGUGCCGGCAGCAUUCCUCGAACUCGGCCAUUUUCGUUGGGACUCUCGGGACGUAACGUAUGGUCGUUUACUCUAUUUCUGGAUAGAUUUUUUAUCUCUUGAUCAUAGAUAUCGAUUGAUCAUGGUUAACGGUAGAAUUCCGUCGGUCUUUUCUAAGACCUAUGUCACACCACGACGACCAUAUGAGAAGGCUCGUCUUGAUCAAGAAUUAAAGAUUAUCGGAGAGUAUGGUCUUCGCAACAAGCGUGAAGUGUGGAGAGUAAAAUACACUCUUGCCAAAAUCCGUAAAGCUGCUCGUGAGCUGCUCACAUUGGAAGAAAAAGAUCCUAAACGUCUUUUUGAAGGUAACGCUCUUCUUCGUCGUUUGGUAAGAAUCGGAGUCUUGGAUGAAGGACGCAUGAAGCUUGAUUACGUUCUUGGUCUGAAAAUUGAAGAUUUUUUGGAAAGACGUCUACAGACUCAGGUUUUCAAACUUGGAUUGGCUAAGUCCAUCCACCACGCACGUGUUCUUAUUCGUCAAAGACACAUUCGAUACGAGGAACCUCACUGACACCCAUCGAUGGUCUAACAAAACUCAAUAACGUCUUGAAUGACUUCGUAAUGGCCACUGAAAUGCUACAGUUAUGGCUGUCGUUUCACGCCACAACAAAAAAAAGUUUUUUUUUUGUUUUACGGACAGAGCGUCCUGGUCGCGGGUGGUGUCACAAUUAUUCACUAAGACCACUUGAUCGACGAGUCUUAAUUUUAAGAUCUCGGCGUUCAACGUCUUGAAUUAAAAAUCCUGUUUUCUCGCGAAUCUUGAAGUUUCAUAUCGCGUUCGCAAACAAGUUGUGAACAUUCCAUCAUUCAUCGUACGUCUCGACUCGCAGAAACACAUCGAUUUCUCCACAAAAUCGCCCUUCGGAAGUGGCCGUGCUGGUCGUGUCAAGAGGAAGAACAUGCGCAAGGGAA
Molecule: RNA transcript, 1358 nt
Organism: Venturia canescens
Lineage: Eukaryota; Metazoa; Arthropoda; Insecta; Hymenoptera; Ichneumonidae
Gene: RpS9
Gene name: ribosomal protein S9
Exons: 6
Source: RefSeq, a predicted model, not a curated record